This 497-nucleotide ribosomal RNA is filed under the name uncultured bacterium. RNAcentral describes it as "partial 16S ribosomal RNA". It matches the Rfam family "Bacterial small subunit ribosomal RNA", at positions 28 to 507 of the family's 1533-position model. The record is from RNAcentral.
GAUGAACGCUGGCGGCGUGCCUAAUACAUGCAAGUCGAGCGAACGGACGAGAAGCUUGCUUCUCUGAUGUUAGCCGCGGACGGGUGAGUAACACGUGUAUACCCUACCUAUCAGUCUGGUAAAACUUCGGGACACCGUAGCUAAUACCGUAUAAGAUUUUGAACCGCGUGGUUCAAAGGUGAAAGACGGCCUUGCUGGCACUUAUCGCUGGAUCUCAGCUGCAUUAGAUAGUAGGUGAGUUAACGGCCUAUCACGGCAACGAUGCCUAGCCGACCUGAGGGGGGGAUCGGCCACACGGGAACUGAGACACGGUCCAGAGUCCUACGGGAGGCAGCAGUAGGGAAUGGUCCGCAAUGGGCGGAAGCCUGACGGAGCGACGCCGAGUGAGUGAUGGAGGUCUUCGGAGCGUAAUACUCUGUUAUUAGGGAAGAACAGAUUUGUAAGGAACUGUGCACAGCGUGACGGUACCGAAUCAGAAAGCCACGGCUAACUACGUG